This 75-nucleotide transfer RNA is filed under the name Fructobacillus sp. EFB-N1. RNAcentral describes it as "tRNA-Lys". It matches the Rfam family "tRNA". Rfam says of the family: Transfer RNA (tRNA) molecules are approximately 80 nucleotides in length. Their secondary structure includes four short double-helical elements and three loops (D, anti-codon, and T loops). Lineage: Bacteria; Bacillati; Bacillota; Bacilli; Lactobacillales; Lactobacillaceae. The record is from RNAcentral.
GCUUCCGUAACUCAGUUGGUUAGAGUAGGGGAUUUUUAAUCCCAAGGUCCUCGGUUCGAAUCCGAGCGGGAGCAC